Unclassified non-coding RNA from Papio anubis (olive baboon), 148 nucleotides. It matches the Rfam family "Metazoan signal recognition particle RNA". From Rfam's summary of the family: The signal recognition particle (SRP) is a universally conserved ribonucleoprotein. The record is from Ensembl. Lineage: Eukaryota; Metazoa; Chordata; Mammalia; Primates; Cercopithecidae.
GCCAGGCAUGGUGGUGCAUGCCUGUAAUCCCAGCUACUUGGGAGGCUGAGGCAGGAGAAUUGCUCUAACCUGGGAGGUGGAGGUUGCAGUGAGCUGGAAUUGUGCCACUGCACUCCAGCCUGGGUGACAGAGCAAGACUCUGUAUCAA